Anneissia japonica is the source of this 633-nucleotide long non-coding RNA. RefSeq lists it as uncharacterized. NCBI's taxonomy places the organism in Eukaryota, Metazoa, Echinodermata, Crinoidea, Comatulida, Comatulidae. The record is from RefSeq and is a predicted model, not a curated record. The transcript has 3 exons.
GGCAGUUCCGGUGUCCCGUUUCAAGUUUUGAAUUCACAAAGGAAGCGCCCAUUCUAGUGCCGUCGUCUUGUAGCGAGUGUAAAUGAAGGAAGAUUCAUAUGCCUAAGAAAGUGAAGUAAAAGAGUAAAAAAAAAACAUGGCAUCCAUAGGCCGUUAUUAAUGGAGCUACUGUAAGUAUUGGCGAAGAUGGACACGAAAACUUAAAAUUCAAUAUCCAUUAUCAGAUCACCAGUCCUGAGCUGCAGUAUGUGCUACCUGCCAACGUACCAGUACUUUCUAUGGAGGCAUUAUAAUAAUUUUGAUCGGUUCUUGAAGAUGGUCUUGUGCAAACAUUUGGGCCAGUUUGCAGAAUUCUGAAGUGCGAGGAUGCAACUACUGUAGAUGUGAAAAAAAGGAGGCGAUUGAAUACUUUCUUAAUAACCUUUGUGAAAAGUAUGAGGGAAAAGGUAUUCGUACUUCUGUUACUAUGAUUCAUGGUGAAACUAUUGACGAUUCUCAUUGAUACACUCUUGCAUGGACCCUAUCAAUUUGAGGAUAUUCAUAAUCUGUAAAAACGUUAAAUAUGUGAUAUUCACAAUGCGAUCAAAAUGAUGGAAUAUUCUUACUUUCCAAGGAGCUGGAGAAAUUGAAUUG